Antechinus flavipes (yellow-footed antechinus) is the source of this 3878-nucleotide long non-coding RNA. RefSeq lists it as uncharacterized. The record is from RefSeq and is a predicted model, not a curated record. The transcript is spliced from 2 exons. Lineage: Eukaryota; Metazoa; Chordata; Mammalia; Dasyuromorphia; Dasyuridae.
UUAGGUACCAUCAUCUUUUCUGAGCACAGAGGGCCAUGCCCAGCUGUUUUCCAUGGGCCAGACCUCACUUGUUGCUUUCCUAAUUCAGAAAAUAUAAAGUACUACAUUCAAGGUACUGUGCCAGGUUCUACAGACACAACAAAGAAAAACACGCUGCUCUCAGUGUUAACCUUAUAAUCUAAUGAAAGGAAAGGUGAAAUAUAUGAAAAAGUAUGACACAAGCUAAAAUAGAAAAACAAAGGAAUACUAGGGACCAUUUAGCAAAAUAUUUUAAAGAUAUAAAAUACAAAGGAUUACAAAAGAAAUAUGUUGAAAUAAUUGCCUAUAUAUAUAUUUUUAAAACUUCACAACUCCUACUCUCCCUUCCCUGAGUCUAUAAUAACUAAAGGGUUAUACAAUAAACUAAGAAACAAUCACUUCCUUAGGAGUUGUCUUCUAAACCCAGUUGGAUCACCUCUUUUGUACGAUGUGCAUACCCUGCUCCUCCUGGAAGAAGCAGUUUUGUCUUUUGAACUAACUCUAGACCUUGAACCAUUCCUAGAAUCAUAGAAUGUUUGAACUGAAAGGAACCUUAGAGAUCACCCAGCUCAAACAUAUUGAGAGAAACAAAGGGAUUUGCAGAAAAAACAUUCAAGAACUAGUUCCAGCCAUUCUUGAAUUCUUUCCUAAGGAUGUUCCCAUCUCUCAGAACUAAUAUGAAAGAAUUUGGGGACUAAAAAUGGGGAUUCCCAGUGGUCUUCAUAAAUAUUCUGGAAUCAGUAGCUUCCUCUGGGUGUCAAUCUAUGGAGCAGUUUUAAUGCUAAAUUAAGGAGUCUUGACUUUAGUCAGCAAGCUAUAGGAAUCUCAUAAUAACAAAGAUAAUUAAGAUAACAGAGCUAUAAAUCAAAUAAUUGAUUCUGCUAUACUAAGAAACCAUUGAACAUUUUUGAGAAAGAUUAGAAGGAUCAGUCUUAGUGCAUAAGGAAGAUUAAUAUGGAUAGAUUAUUAGUAAAUUCAGUUAACCACUUAAGUACCUACUAUGUGAUAGGUACUGGGUUAACCAAAAAAAAAAGUCCCUAAUUCUCUAGGAACUAACAUCUAAAUUAGAUAAAUAUAGAUACAUGUAGAUGCAAAUAUAGAUAGAUACAAAAUAUAUACAAAAUGAUUACAAGGUAAUUUCACUACUCUGGUUUAAGCCCACAUACAUACAUCCCCAAAGGGUAUCAGAUAUCUGAUAGGUAUCAGAGAUGUACAGUUUACCCUGUAGGCCAUGGGUUUUAUUGGAGGAUAGACUACUAUGAGAAGACCAACUUCAUUUAAACCAAAAAGUUGAGCUGUCAAAAAUGACCAGAGGGCAAAAUGGCUACUAAGCCCUGGACCUGGAUCUGGGACAUGGACUGAAGUAUUCAUUGUAAGUCUAAGUCAUUUCUUCAGUUUUAAACAGCCUCCACUUUGGACUCACAGACUUAUAUCUUAAUUAUUGCCCUUGGUAGAGUAUGUUGCUCUUUUCAUUUCAUCUUGGUUGUCCUGGUAACAUCUUCAUACCUUCUAGUGGAGAAAUACUUAUUUUCAAUUCAUUUAACUCUUUAAUACCUUGUUAUUUCUGUUAAGGAUUCCUUAUAUUCUAUAAUACUAUCAAAAGGGUAAGGGAGGGAUCUAUCUCUUGGGGUAUCCUAAUCAAAUUCUUCUCACUGCAAAGCAUUUAGUUACUUAAAGUAAAUUGGUUAUGGCAUAUUUUCAAUGGUAGGUGAUAGGAGUAGAGUUAUAUUUCCAUCCCAACUUUUUCUCUGAUGUAUUAAAAACCUAGUGUUCAUGUGACACUUUUGAACAAUAAAACAGAAACAACAAAUGACAAUAGCAUUUGUAGCGCUUUAAGUUUUGCAAAGCACUUUAUAAAUAUUCUCUCAUUUUAUCUUUACAGCAGUCUUGGGAGGCAGAGGUUAUUAUUCUCCCCAAAUCGAGGCAGACUGAGGUUAGGUGAUUUGUCCAGGGCUACACAGCUCAUAGGUAUCAGAGAUUAGAAUUGAACACCAGAGUUAGGAAGACUCUUAAGACUAGCACUCUAUUCACUGUAUCAUCUAGUUGCCAUCAUAGGAAGAUGUUAAAUUUUAGGUUUUAAAGCUUGAAAGAACUUUUAAAAUCAUAUAUUCCAAUCCAUUUUAUAGAUGAGGAAUAUGAGACUCAAUGAAUUUAAGUGGCUUGCUCCAAAAUCACAUUAGAUAAUAACUAGAGCUGGCAUUCAAUCUAGGUCGUCUGAUUUCAAGUGCUGGUAAAGGCUUUUUCCACUGCUCAUCUACCUUUUAUGAUCUCAAGGAAUAAUGGACUCUACUCAUGUAGUGCAAGAGCAGGAGAAAUACUGUCGCAGUUCCUGUAGCAUGUUUUGUUCUUGAAAACACUGAGAGAUUCUUUAUGGAAGAGCAAUCAGUUGCCUCUAUGAGUAGUCUCAGGUUAAAGUUACUUAAAUCAUCAUAGCAUUUAUUAACAACCAUUCAUAUAUUGAUAAUAUACAGGCUUAUAUAAGCCACUUGUACUUUAUAGUUUCACCUUGUACAUCUUCCAUAAAUGUACUGGCUAUGGCAUAAAAAUAUUUAUUAUUGUAGUAAACAUUUGUUGAAUUGUAUUUGUUUAGGCCUGGGUUAGCUGAAUUUGGGUUCUGGUUUCUGGGGAUAUUGAAGAUAUUCAUAAUCACUUCUAUUAACAAUUCUCAAAUUCCAACACUAGGAUCUGAAGAGCAAAGACCCUACUUACCAGGAAUAUCCUUUGAAGCUUUCUGACCUCUCAGGUUUUCUUGGUGUUUCAUCCUACCUGAAGUGAAGAAAAAAUCACAAAUAGUCUGAUAUGGUGUAGACCUAGCAGCAUAAAGACAGGUAACUGACAUGGGCAGAGGGCACUUAUUGCCCUGAAACCUUAGAAAUUGGUAAAUUUUAUUCCUAUUGUCCAAAGAAAACCUGAGAAUUCAGAGUACAUUUUCAUUUAUGGGUCAUUGAGUUAGUUUAAGACUUUUCUGGAGAGUAGUUCAAAUUUUGGAAGAAGUUUGGAGUUCACCUUAGAGUACAUUACCAUGAACUUGAACCCUGCUAGUUUUCCUAGAAUUAAUUUCUUUGGCCUGUGUGCCAUCCUUGUGUGCCAUAAGGAGUAGCCCCAGACCACAUUAGCCUCUAGGACCCUGUCUUUCCCUCAAUGUAUGAGACAUUCCACAUACUUGGAUGCAGACCUAGGAAUCCAGCUUCUGUCUAGGCUGGUCCUUCCUGGGGGAAUAGAAAGUUGAGGAGUAUAUCUGUGGUGCAAUAAAAGCCACUUCAAUCUGAAAAAAAUUUAGCCUGAUCCUACUUGAGUGUUACUUAGGUCAUAAGGGUCCUCAACCACUCAGGGUUUGCAAGAUUACAGUGAGGUCACCAUAUAACUAAAGUUGUAGGACCAGAAACUAGAAUUUCAGCUCCCUAGAUGAUAAGAAUAAGCUUCAGUGAGAAUAAUCAGAAGUUUUGUACCAGAAAAUUUAUACCAGAAGCACAUAAUAUAAUUUGUUCAUCAAAUUUAAAGUUGUAAGGGACCUUAAGAGAGAAUUCAGUCUAAUUCCUUCAUUUUAUAUAGGAAGAAAUUAUUCCAGAAGAGGAGUUAGUGACUCAUCCAGACAGAUAGUCCAUAACCAAGAUGAGAUUCUGAUUCAGAUUCUUUGAGAUCAAAUCUAUUGUUUUUUGCUACAUUCAGAAAAUUUAUGGUAACUUCUGUUCUUCUGGUAGGUUUGUAGGCAGCCAUGUAACUUUUUAGUAUCCAAAACCCUAUCAUUCCUGGCAUUAAAUUGUAUUUUCCUGGGUAGCAGGGACUGUUGGUUUUUGGACAGGCAGAAUACCUGGCAGAAAAUAUUGUUUAUGACUGUUUAAUAAAUGUUAUUUGCUUAA